UACGUAGGGUGCGAGCGUUAAUCGGAAUUACUGGGCGUAAAGGGUGCGCAGGCGGUUUUGUAAGUCAGAUGUGAAAUCCCCGGGCUUAACCUGGGAAUGGCGUUUGAAACUGCAAGGCUAGAGUGUAGCAGAGGGGAGUGGAAUUCCGCGUGUAGCAGUGAAAUGCGUAGAUAUGCGGAGGAACACCGAUGGCGAAGGCAGCUCCCUGGGCUAACACUGACGCUCAUGCACGAAAGCGUGGGGAGCAAACAGGAUUAGAUACCCUGGUAGUCCACGCCCUAAACGAUGUCAACUAGUUGUCGGGCCUAAUUGAGGGUUUGGUAACGUAGCUAACGCGUGAAGUUGACCGCCUGGGGAGUACGAUCGCAAGAUUAAAACUUAAAUGAAUUGACGG
This 394-nucleotide ribosomal RNA is filed under the name uncultured bacterium. RNAcentral's name for it is "bacterial SSU rRNA". It matches the Rfam family "Bacterial small subunit ribosomal RNA", at positions 524 to 916 of the family's 1533-position model. The record is from RNAcentral.